Molecule: ribosomal RNA, 478 nt
Filed under: uncultured bacterium
Lineage: Bacteria
Description: partial 16S ribosomal RNA
Rfam family: Bacterial small subunit ribosomal RNA
Source: RNAcentral
GAUGAACGCUGGCGGCGUGCUUAACACAUGCAAGUCGAACGAGAAAUGUAGACGGAAACCUUCGGGCGGAAGCCUUCAUUUCGAGUGGCGGACGGGUGAGUAACGCGUGGGUAACCUGCCUCAUACAGGGAGGUAACAGUUGGAAACGACUGUUAAUACCGCAUAAGACCACAGCAUCGCAUGAUGCGGGGGUAAAAACUCCGGUGGGAUGAGAUGGACCCGCGUUCGAUUAGCCAGUUGGUGGGGUAACGGCCCACCAAAGCGACGAUCGAUAGCCGAUCUGAGAGGAUGACCGGCCACACUGGGACUGAGACACGGCCCAGACUCCUACGGGAGGCAGCAGUGGGGAAUAUUGCACAAUGGGGGAAACCCUGAUGCAGCGACGCCGCGUGAGUGAAGAAGUAAUUCGGUAUGUAAAGCUCUAUCAGAAGGGAAGAAAAUGACGGUACCUGAGGAAGAAGCCCCGGCUAACUACGUG